Long non-coding RNA from Leptinotarsa decemlineata (Colorado potato beetle), 353 nucleotides. Lineage: Eukaryota; Metazoa; Arthropoda; Insecta; Coleoptera; Chrysomelidae. The record is from RefSeq and is a predicted model, not a curated record.
AUCAUUGAAAUCAAAACAACUUCCACUAUUUCAGGCUUACAUGAACUACAAGAGAAAGAGCACUGUCGGAUGGAGCAUAGGCAACAUAUUUUUAGAUUUCACAGGAGGCGCUUUAAGCAUGUUGCAAAUGAUUGUUGACGCUUACAAUUACGAUGACUGGGUAUCGAUUUUUGGAGACCCAACCAAAUUUGGACUUGGUUUGUUUUCUGUUGUAUUCGAUAUCUUUUUCAUUGUUCAACAUUAUAUACUGUACAGGCAUUCGAAUUACGCAGAAAACUAAUUGUUUUAAUUUUUUUCAGUAUUUAUUUUUAUAUUUUUAACUUGUUCACUAUUAAAUGAAUUUUUUUCUUAUA